This is a long non-coding RNA of Hevea brasiliensis (rubber tree), 970 nucleotides long. RefSeq lists it as uncharacterized. Lineage: Eukaryota; Viridiplantae; Streptophyta; Magnoliopsida; Malpighiales; Euphorbiaceae. The record is from RefSeq and is a predicted model, not a curated record. The transcript is spliced from 2 exons.
UUUUGAAUUGAACUCGAUCAAAACUAAUGUAGUUUUGAAUUGAAAGAGGAGCAACCUAUACUAAUGACAAACGGAACACCUUGUUUGUUUCUCUAAAUUCAUUUUGAUUGCUUAGUUUCUCUAGCCGCACAACCGCAGUCCCCCAUUCCUCCAGUUGUUCUUCGAUAAUUUCGCUUCGUACGUUACUCUUCGGUCGUUUCUCUUCUGCGUUUUACUGCAAACAUCUCUUCGGUCGUCUCUACUUCAGUUCGGUUGGUGUCAACAGCUCGUUCUCUGCAGACUUAUUUUUUCAGUUCUGAUAUGUGGUAUGGUUGGAUCAUAGCUUUCUCAAGUACUUCGUUCAAUUCUGGACAUGUUUCAGGAGGAAUGGUCUUAAAUCUGGCGGCAAUUGUUUUCUCAGCACAACAUUUCCAGCAAAAAUGAAACAGAGAAGAAUAGCGAUGUGGGUGCCCUUAAUAUAUUUAAGAAAAACUUAGGCUUUUCAUUUAUUAUUAAUUUUUUUUUUUUAAAGAUGCUGAUAAUCCCUCAACCACAAUGAAUUUCUGUAGGGUUCAAAAUUUUAUUUUGCUAAUUUGAUAUGAUAUUUUAUUUUGAUAUCGCCAAUAUUGAUUUUUUGCUUCUUAAUUCUUGCACGUUGCAUGGAUACAAAAGUUUGGCUUGUUUUCCUCUCUUCAAAUUUCAAGCUUAGAACUACCCAAGAAUUUGAGUGAUUUGAUACUAGAAUGUGUCAUUUGAUGGAGCAAUUUAAUUUUAUUUGGUUUAUUGUGUCGUCAUUUUUUUUUUUUUUAACUUAGUUGCAAUGUGUUGUAAAUUACUUUUUUUUUUCUUGUUAUUUUGUAUUAUUAGUGACCGACAAAAUCAUAUGAUGUGAUUUGAAAACAUGUAUUGUUAACUUGAGUUUGAGCUCGAACUCGAGCUUAGUAAAAUAGCUUAUCCAGCUUGAGGUAAUAAAUGAAUGAAGUUUGAGUUU